This 1566-nucleotide long non-coding RNA is filed under the name Numida meleagris (helmeted guineafowl). RNAcentral's name for it is "lncRNA (ENSNMEG00000021617.1)". The record is from RNAcentral. Lineage: Eukaryota; Metazoa; Chordata; Aves; Galliformes; Numididae.
AUGGCACCAACACUGCUGUCCCCAGUGCCUGCUUGUUGCCCCCAGCCACCCUCUGGUGGCUUCACCUGGGGCCCCCACCUCUGCCCUACAGCACCAUGCCCACAUUCCACAUCGCUCGCUUUAUUCAGCCCCAUGCACCGCGGCGCCCAGCAGUCCCUGUGUGAGCACUCAGCAUGCCCCAAAAUGUUCAGUAUCCCUGGGGAGGAGCAGCACGGGGCUCCUGGCAUCACCCCACAGCCCCUCACGUGCCCAGCUCCCUGCGCAGCUUCAGGAUUUCCAGGAGGAGCUUCUCCUUUUCCAGCACGAUCUUCUCCUUCUGCAGUUGCAGGGUCUCCUUCUGCAGCUCCAGGAUCUCGGUGUGCAGCCGCCUCUGCUUUUCUGACAGCUCCUCGGAGGCCGCUGUGCCACCUGCACGGAGCGAGGGAAGGCGUUAGGGCUGGGAGGGGAGUGAGGAUGGGCUGGGGGUUUCGGAGAGGGCAAAAGGGGAGAUAUCACCAAACUGCUGCAGCAAUGCUGCCCGGAGUGGAUGUAGAACUUCACUCCGUUGUUGGGAACGGGACCGGGAACCCCGGCACGGACUGGGGGCUGCUCACCGUUGUCGUGCGGGGGCUCCGGGGGCCCGGGGCUGCCCGUUCCCAGCGAUGCGGGACUCGCCAUGGCCUCGAGGCACGGCCACGCCAGCGCGGGGCUCGGCGGGCACUUGACGCGGGGCGGCUCGUGGUCGCCAGGCGGAGGUCCGGGGGCUGUGCCCUGCGGCGGGGCGGCCCGGGGGGCGGCCGGUCCGGGAGGGGGCUGCAGUCUGUUCCCCGCGGCGGGCAGCGGCCGCUCCUUGGGGCCGGGGAAGCGGUCCGGAGCAGGGCCGUGCGGCAGCAGCUCGGGGGCGGCCGCGGGCAGCCCGAAGGACGGGGCGGGCGGAGGGCCGGGCUUGUUGAAGAGGGCGAAGAUGUGAUGGAAGAGCCGCUCCUGCGGCCGCUGGCGGAGCAGCGGGUGCUUGUCGGCGGCCAGCUCCCGGCGCGCGUCCAGCACCAUGUUAUGCCACUUCUUGCGGAUCUCCUCGGCCGUGCGCCGCACCACCGGGCUCAGCGCGUUGACGGCGGCCGCGAUCUCCUCCCACGCCCGCUGCCGGUCCUGCGUGUUGCGGUAGCGGCCGCUCUUGGGGAUGAGGAUGUCCUUGCGGAGGCUGAACUCCUCCAGGAUGAGGAAUUUCUCCUCCUCCGAGAACUUGAUGCGCUUCGGCUUGGCCGCGCUCAUGCCGCCCUGCGACGGGGAGAGGGGCUCAGGGAGGUCCCCCCGCCCCGUACUCCCGCGUCCCCGCGUCCGCCGCCCCCGGCGCUCACCUUCCUCCGGGCCGGGCCGCCGCGGGAAGCGGAUGUGCCGCGUCCUGUGCCGCGCCGGGGCGGGGCCGGUACCGGGGCGGAGCAGCGGGAGCCCCGCGGAGCUCGGACGGACGCGCUGAGCCCGCAACCUCCCCCCGCAACCCCCGGCAAUGAGAGGCUUCUACGGCGCGGCUGCUGCGGGUCUCUUUAUUUGAUACAGAAACCCGGGCUGGAUACAAAAUACAGCUAA